Molecule: ribosomal RNA, 253 nt
Filed under: uncultured bacterium
Lineage: Bacteria
Description: partial 16S ribosomal RNA
Rfam family: Bacterial small subunit ribosomal RNA
Source: RNAcentral
UACGUAGGGUGCAGGCGUUAAUCGGAAUUACUGGGCGUAAAGCGUGCGCAGGCGGCUUCCUAAGUCAGAUGUGAAAUCCCUCAGCUUAACUGGGGAACUGCGUCUGAUACUGGAUGGCUUGGAUUUGGGAGAGGGAUGCGGAAUUCCAGGUGUAGCGGUGAAAUGCGUAGAUAUCUGGAGGAACACCGGUGGCGAAGGCGGCAUCCUGGACUAACAUUGACGCUGAGGAGCGAAAGCCAGGGGAGCAAACGGG